RNAcentral lists this ribosomal RNA (466 nucleotides) under uncultured bacterium. RNAcentral's name for it is "partial 16S ribosomal RNA". It matches the Rfam family "Bacterial small subunit ribosomal RNA", at positions 28 to 507 of the family's 1533-position model. The record is from RNAcentral.
GACGAACGCUGGCGGCGCGCCUAACACAUGCAAGUCGAACGAGCGAGAGAGAGCUUGCUUUCUUGAGCGAGUGGCGAACGGGUGAGUAACGCGUGAGGAACCUGCCUCAAAGAGGGGGACAACAGUUGGAAACGACUGCUAAUACCGCAUAAGCCCACGACCCGGCAUCGGGUUGAGGGAAAAGGAGCAAUCCGCUUUGAGAUGGCCUCGCGUCCGAUUAGCUAGUUGGUGAGGUAACGGCCCACCAAGGUGACGAUCGGUAGCCGGACUGAGAGGUUGAACGGCCACAUUGGGACUGAGACACGGCCCAGACUCCUACGGGAGGCAGCAGUGGGGAAUAUUGCACAAUGGGGGAAACCCUGAUGCAGCGACGCCGCGUGGAGGAAGAAGGUCUUCGGAUUGUAAACUCCUGUUGUUGAGGAAGAUAAUGACGGUACUCAACAAGGAAGUGACGGCUAACUACGUG